This 517-nucleotide ribosomal RNA is filed under the name uncultured bacterium. Its description in RNAcentral is "bacterial SSU rRNA". It matches the Rfam family "Bacterial small subunit ribosomal RNA", at positions 49 to 575 of the family's 1533-position model. The record is from RNAcentral.
UAACACAUGCAAGUCGAACGAGAACGGAUUUUAGUUUACUAAAAUUGUCAGCUAAGUGGCGCACGGGUGAGUAAUAUAUAGUUAACCUGCCCCAAAGAAGAGAAUAAUUGAUGGAAACGUCUUGUAACUCUCUAUAUGCCUUUAUCACAUAAGUGAGCAAGGGAAACAUUUAUGGCUUUGGGAUGGGACUGUACGGUAUCAGAUAGUUGGUGAGGUAAUGGCUCACCAAGUCAAUGACGCCUAACUGGUUUGAGAGGAUGAUCAGUCACACUGGAACUGAGACACGGUCCAGACUCCUACGGGAGGCAGCAGUGGGGAAUAUUGCACAAUGGAGGAAACUCUGAUGCAGCAACGCCGCGUGGAGGAUGACACAUUUCGGUGCGUAAACUCCUUUUAUAUGAGAAGAUAAUGACGAUAUCAUAUGAAUAAGCACCGGCUAACUCCGUGCCAACAGCCGCGGUAAUACGGGGGGUGCAAAGCGUUACUCGGAAUCACUGGGCGUAAAAGAGCAUGUAGG